RNAcentral lists this ribosomal RNA (253 nucleotides) under uncultured bacterium. RNAcentral describes it as "partial 16S ribosomal RNA". It matches the Rfam family "Bacterial small subunit ribosomal RNA", at positions 524 to 776 of the family's 1533-position model. The record is from RNAcentral.
GACAGAGGGUGCAAACGUUGUUCGGAAUUACUGGGCGUAAAGCGCGUGUAGGCGGCCUUGCAAGUCGGAUGUGAAAGCCCUGGGCUCAACCCAGGAAGUGCAUUCGAAACUGCGGGGCUGGAGUCCUGGAGAGGAAGGCGGAAUUCUCGGUGUAGAGGUGAAAUUCGUAGAUAUCGAGAGGAACACCGGUGGCGAAGGCGGCCUUCUGGACGGUGACUGACGCUGAGACGCGAAAGCGUGGGGAGCAAACAGG